UACAGAGGUGGCAAGCGUUGUUCGGAAUUACUGGGCGUAAAGGGCGCGUAGGCGGCCAUCUAAGUCAGACGUGAAAUCCCCCGGCUUAACCUGGGAACUGCGUCUGAUACUGGACGGCUUGAGUACGGGAGAGGGAUGUAGAAUUCCAGGUGUAGCGGUGAAAUGCGUAGAUAUCUGGAGGAAUACCGGUGGCGAAGGCGGCAUCCUGGACCAUUACUGACGCUGAGGCGCGAAAGCUAGGGGAGCAAACGGG
This 253-nucleotide ribosomal RNA is filed under the name uncultured bacterium. RNAcentral describes it as "partial 16S ribosomal RNA". It matches the Rfam family "Bacterial small subunit ribosomal RNA", at positions 524 to 776 of the family's 1533-position model. The record is from RNAcentral.